AAAGGAGGGCAGCUACCUUGCAGUCGUACAAGGUAACCACAGAUCGGCCUGGCGGCGAGUGGCGAACGGGUGAGUAAUACAUCGGAACGUGCCCUGUUGUGGGGGAUAACUAGUCGAAAGAUUAGCUAAUACCGCAUACGACCUGAGGGUGAAAGCGGGGGACCGCAAGGCCUCGCGCAGCAGGAGCGGCCGAUGUCUGAUUAGCUAGUUGGUGGGGUAACGGCCUACCAAGGCGACGAUCAGUAGCUGGUCUGAGAGGACGAUCAGCCACACUGGGACUGAGACACGGCCCAGACUCCUACGGGAGGCAGCAGUGGGGAAUUUUGGACAAUGGGGGCAACCCUGAUCCAGCAAUGCCGCGUGUGUGAAGAAGGCCUUCGGGUUGUAAAGCACUUUUGUCCGGAAAGAAAUCGCGCUGGCUAAUAUCCGGCGUGGAUGACGGUACCGGAAGAAUAAGCACCGGCUAACUACGUGCCAGCAGCCGCGGUAAUACGUAGGGUGCGAGCGUUAAUCGGAAUUACUGGGCGUAAAGCGUGCGCAGGCGGUUUUGUAAGACAGGCGUGAAAUCCCCGAGCUCAACUUGGGAAUUGCGCUUGUGACUGCAAGGCUAGAGUGUGUCAGAGGGGGGUAGAAUUCCACGUGUAGCAGUGAAAUGCGUAGAGAUGUGGAGGAAUACCGAUGGCGAAGGCAGCCCCCUGGGACGCCACUGACGCUCAUGCACGAAAGCGUGGGGAGCAGACAGGAUUAGAUACCCUGGUAGUCCACGCCCUAAACGAUGUCAACUAGUUGUUGGGGAUUCAUUUCUUCAGUAACGUAGCUAACGCGUGAAGUUGACCGCCUGGGGAGUACGGUCGCAAGAUUAAAACUCACAGGGAAUUGACGGGGACCCGCACAAGCGGUGGAUGAUGUGGAUUAAUUCGAUGCAACGCGAAAAAACCUUACCUACCCUUGACAUGCCACUAACGAAGCAGAGAUGCAUCAGGUGCCCGAAAAGGGAAAAGUGGAACCCAGGUGCUGCAUGGCUGUCGUCAGCCUCGGGUCUGGAGAUGUUGGGGUUAAUUCCCCGCAACGAAGGGCAAACCCUUG
RNAcentral lists this ribosomal RNA (1086 nucleotides) under Cupriavidus sp. RNAcentral's name for it is "bacterial SSU rRNA". It matches the Rfam family "Bacterial small subunit ribosomal RNA", at positions 38 to 1108 of the family's 1533-position model. Lineage: Bacteria; Pseudomonadati; Pseudomonadota; Betaproteobacteria; Burkholderiales; Burkholderiaceae. The record is from RNAcentral.